Molecule: long non-coding RNA, 540 nt
Organism: Rosa rugosa (rugosa rose)
Lineage: Eukaryota; Viridiplantae; Streptophyta; Magnoliopsida; Rosales; Rosaceae
Exons: 6
Source: RefSeq, a predicted model, not a curated record
UGUUGCUGAAGCUUGCAUACAGGCGCUGGACAUAAAAUGCACUGAAGGAAAAAUAUUUGAAGUCAACUCAGUUGAGUAGCGUUAUGUUUUCAACUUGUUUGGCAGAGCUAUAAUGGAACCAAAGGUGGUUGAUCUUGCUCGAUUCCUGACUAAAAGUGGGACCUGUAUGUAAGGAGCAGAAAGCUAAAGUUACCUAAACUCCACAGCUAAACUUACUUCAACUUCACUAAAAAACAUCUGAUCAAGAUGGAGGCUGAUAUCCUCCUAUCUCUGAAAUUUGAAAUGGGAAAUCUCAAUGUUGGUACAUCCUUGAGAAAAUUCAUUGAUCUUGCUCAAGGGAGUUACUACAAAGUUCUUAUUUUGCCAAGGGCAGAUCAUUGGAGUUCCUGUAGCUUUGCAUCUAUUCAAGGUUUAUAGAACAUACCUAAUGAGAAAAUUAGUAUAGUAGUUACUAUACUUUGUAAAUUUCUUUGUAGUUGAUUCUCCUUAGAUCGGAUCUUAAUUAGUAUACAUAUUGUAAUAGUGUAUUUUGGUAACUAA